RNAcentral lists this ribosomal RNA (253 nucleotides) under uncultured bacterium. RNAcentral's name for it is "partial 16S ribosomal RNA". It matches the Rfam family "Bacterial small subunit ribosomal RNA", at positions 524 to 776 of the family's 1533-position model. The record is from RNAcentral.
UACGGGGGGAGCAAGCGUUGUUCGGAAUCACUGGGCGUAAAGGGAGUGUAGGCGGUUCGGUAAGUGGGAUGUGAAAUGCCCGGGCUCACCCCGGGACCUGCAUCCCAUACUGCUGAGCUUGAGUACAGGAGAGGGUGGGGGAAUUCCUGGUGUAGCGGUGAAAUGCGUAAAUAUCAGGAGGAACACCGGUGGCGAAGGCGCCCACCUGGCCUGCUACUGACGCUGAUGCUCGAAAGCUAGGGGAGCAAACGGG